CGGAGAGGGAGCCUGAGAAACGGCUACCACAUCUAAGGAAGGCAGCAGGCGCGUAAAUUACCCACUCCCAGUUCGGGGAGGUAGUGACGAAAAAUAACAAUACAGGACUCAUAUCCGAGGCCCUGUAAUUGGAAUGAGUACACUUUAAAUCCUUUAACAAGGACCAAUUGGAGGGCAAGUCUGGUGCCAGCAGCCGCGGUAAUUCCAGCUCCAAUAGCGUAUAUUAAAGUUGUUGCGGUUAAAACGUUCGUAGUUGAACUUGUGCUUCAUACGGGUAGUACAACUACAAUUGUGGAUUGUACAUUACCUUAUGUAUGCAAGCGUAUUAUCGGUGGAGUUCUUAUAUGUAAUGAUACUUGUAUUGUUAUAUAUACCUCCUAUUUAAACCUGCUUCAAUGCUCUUCAUCGAGUGCUGUUGUGGGCCGAUACAAUUACUUUGAACAAAUUAGAGUGCUUAAAGCAGGCUCCAAAUGCCUGAAUAUUUUGUGCAUGGAAUAAUGAAAUAAGACUUCUGAUCUACUUUCAUUGGUUUUUAGAUCAAGAUGUAAUGAUUAAUAGAAGCAGUUUGGGGGCAUUAGUAUUACGACGCGAGAGGUGAAAUUCUUGGACCGUCGUAAGACUAACUUAAGCGAAAGCAUUUGCCAAAGAUGUUUUCAUUAAUCAAGAACGAAAGUUAGAGGUUCG
RNAcentral lists this ribosomal RNA (684 nucleotides) under Allograpta nigripilosa. RNAcentral describes it as "SSU rRNA". It matches the Rfam family "Eukaryotic small subunit ribosomal RNA", at positions 384 to 1000 of the family's 1831-position model. The record is from RNAcentral. Lineage: Eukaryota; Metazoa; Arthropoda; Insecta; Diptera; Syrphidae.